RNAcentral lists this ribosomal RNA (874 nucleotides) under uncultured archaeon. RNAcentral's name for it is "bacterial SSU rRNA". It matches the Rfam family "Archaeal small subunit ribosomal RNA", at positions 21 to 903 of the family's 1478-position model. The record is from RNAcentral.
CCUGACUGCUAUCGGAUUGAUACUAAGCCAUGCGAGUCUUUGUAGUAAUACAAGGCAUACGGCUCAGUAACACGUAGUCAACCUACCUUAUGGACGAGGAUAAUCUCGGGAAACUGAGAAUAAUACUCGAUAGACCAUCACUCCUGGAAUGGUUGGUGGUUGAAAUGAUUCGUCGCCAUAGGAUGGGACUGCGGCCUAUCAGCUUGUUGGUGAGGUAAUGGCCCACCAAGGCGAUUACAGGUACGGGCUCUGAGAGGAGAAGCCCGGAGAUGGGUACUGAGACACGGACCCAGGCCCUAUGGGGCGCAGCAGGCGAGAAAACUUUGCAAUGUGCGAAAGCACGACAAGGUUAAUCCGAGUGAUUUCUGCUAAAGAAAUCUUUUGCCAGUCAUAAAACCACUGGUGAAUAAGGGGUGGGCAAGUUCUGGUGUCAGCCGCCGCGGUAAAACCAGCACCUCAAGUGGUCAGGAUGAUUAUUGGGCCUAAAGCAUCCGUAGCCGGCUUUGUAAGUUUUCGGUUAAAUCCAUGUGCUCAACGCAUGGGCUGCCGAAAAUACUGCAUGGCUAGGGAGUGGGAGAGGUAGACGGUACUCAGUAGGAAGGGGUAAAAUCCUUUGAUCUAUUGAUGACCACCUGUGGCGAAGGCGGUCUACCAGAACACGUUCGACGGUGAGGGAUGAAAGCUGGGGGAGCAAACCGGAUUAGAUACCCGGGUAGUCCCAGCUGUAAACGAUGCAGACUCGAUGAUGCAUUGGCAUAAUAGCCAGUGCAGUGUCGCAGGGAAGCCGUUAAGUCUGCCGCCUGGGAAGUACGUACGCAAGUAUGAAACUUAAAGGAAUUGGCGGGGAGCACCACAAGGGUGAAGCCUGCGGUUC